UGGGCAGUAUCAUUUAGAACUGCACCUUUUACUUGGAAUCCAAGUUAUUCAAUUAUUACUGCCUGUAUCCAUGUGGAAUAGGACAGAGGG
Regulatory RNA element from Desulfitobacterium dichloroeliminans LMG P-21439, 90 nucleotides. It matches the Rfam family "pan motif". The record is from Rfam. Lineage: Bacteria; Bacillati; Bacillota; Clostridia; Eubacteriales; Desulfitobacteriaceae.